CCUACGGGUGGCAGCAGUGGGGAAUAUUGCACAAUGGGGGAAACCCUGAAGCAGCGACGCCGCGUGAGUGAAGAAGUAUUUCGGUACGUAAAGCUCCAUCAGCAGGGAAGAAAAGUACGGUACCUGACUCAUAAGCUCCGGCUAUCUACGUGCCAGCAGCCGCGGUAAUACGUAGGGGGCAAGCGUUAUCCGGAUUUACUGGGUGUAAAGGGAGCGUAGACGGCAGCGCAAGUCUGAAGUGAAAUCCCAUGGCUUAACCAUGAAACUGCAUUGGAAACUGUGAAGCUGGAGUGCAGGAGAGGUAAGCGGAAUUCCUGGUGUAGCGGUGAAAUGCGUAGAUAUUACGAGGAACACCAGUGGCGAAGGCGGCUUACUGAACUGUAACUGACGUUGAGGCUCGAAAGCGUGGGGAGCAAACAGGAUUAGAUACCCGGGUAGUC
RNAcentral lists this ribosomal RNA (440 nucleotides) under uncultured bacterium. Its description in RNAcentral is "partial 16S ribosomal RNA". It matches the Rfam family "Bacterial small subunit ribosomal RNA", at positions 338 to 795 of the family's 1533-position model. The record is from RNAcentral.